ACCGACACAGGUGGUCAGGUAGAGUAUACCAAGGCGCUUGAGAGAACUAUGUUGAAGGAACUCGGCAAUUUACCUCCGUAACUUCGGGAUAAGGAGGCCUUCUGUUUGGGCAACCAGGCAGGAGGGGCACAGACUAGGGGGUGGCGACUGUUUACCUAAAACACAGGGCUCUGCGAAGCCGUAAGGCGACGUAUAGGGUCUGAC
This 204-nucleotide ribosomal RNA is filed under the name Chloropicon mariensis. Its description in RNAcentral is "partial Bacterial large subunit ribosomal RNA". It matches the Rfam family "Bacterial large subunit ribosomal RNA", at positions 1653 to 1856 of the family's 2925-position model. Lineage: Eukaryota; Viridiplantae; Chlorophyta; Chloropicophyceae; Chloropicales; Chloropicaceae. The record is from RNAcentral.